RNAcentral lists this ribosomal RNA (253 nucleotides) under uncultured bacterium. RNAcentral describes it as "partial 16S ribosomal RNA". It matches the Rfam family "Bacterial small subunit ribosomal RNA", at positions 524 to 776 of the family's 1533-position model. The record is from RNAcentral.
UACGGAGGGUGCAAACGUUGCUCGGAAUCAUUGGGCGUAAAGCGCACGUAGGCGGUUCGUUAUGUCGGAUGUGAAAGCCUCGGGCUUAACCCGAGAAGUGCAUCCGAAACUGGCGGGCUUGAGUACGGAAGAGGGUCUCGGAAUUUCCGGUGUAGAGGUGAAAUUCGUAGAUAUCGGGAGGAACACCAGUGGCGAAGGCGGAGACCUGGGCCGAUUCUGACGCUGAGGUGCGAAAGCGUGGGGAGCAAUCAGG